RNAcentral lists this long non-coding RNA (2260 nucleotides) under Homo sapiens (human). Its description in RNAcentral is "HSALNT0387940". The record is from RNAcentral. Lineage: Eukaryota; Metazoa; Chordata; Mammalia; Primates; Hominidae.
ACUGCUGUAGCUUCAGGGCAGAAGAGCCACAGAGCCAAAUGCUGCAGAGAUGAAGGGAGACGGAAAGAGCCAAAUGCUGCAGAGAUCAAGGGAGACGGAAGGAUGUCGCCUCCAGAGCUGGGGCCACGGGCAGCGCCAGGGCAGGUUCAUCACUGAUGGCAAGUCUGUGGCUGACCACGUUCACAGGGGUGGCCCUGAGCAAAGGUCGGACAUGAGGACCCAGGAGAAUUCAGGCCCCGGCUCUGGGACGGCUGUGCACCCCCACCCUGGCCGUGGCUGGCACCUCAGAAGGCACAGCUGUCCUUCACUCGCACGGAGCAACCUCGGGACAGAUGGUGGGAGAGGAAGGGCAACUCGAGGAGGCACAUUUUAGGAAACUGCCCACGGAGCCAGUUUCGAUUCUCCAAACCUCGUCAGCAUGCAGAGGCUCCCUGACUCGGCAGCAAGGAGGGCCUCAUCAGCCGACCCCCAUGCCCGGCACCCCCUUCACCAGUGGGUAAACUAUGCUCGCCACCACUCAGCACUCACCUCUUGGGCUCAGAGGGCAGAAAGUCUGACCCUUCUCUCUUAAAAGCAGGGUCCUGAAAACUCCAGAGAGCAGUGCCCUGUGCAUUAAACACAGACUGCGCCCUUGUACUCAGGUAUGACCAUUUGUCCUGGACAAAAAUUAAACUGAUGAGGGAACAAAAUAGGGCCUUAUAGAAGGUGAGUGGAAAAGCAGGGAAGGCAAACCCCCAAAUUCAGGAGGGAGGAUGGAAUUGGCCUGGGGAGCAGAGGCAGGAGGUUCUGUGGACAGGGCUGGUGGAGCUCUGGGGGGAGCAGAGGCAGGAGGUUUUGUGGACAUGGUUGAUGGACCUCUGCGGGGAGAAGACGGAGGAGAUUUUGUGGACAGGGCUGGUGGAGCUCUGCGGGGAGCAGACACAGGAGGUUCUGUGGACAGGGCUGGUGGAGCUCUGGCCACUUCCUCCGUAAACUAGAGACGUGAUCCCCAGGGCCAGGUCUGUCUCUGAGGUCCUACCAGCUGGGACAGGUAAGAGGCUGGGGAAGGAGGAGCGUGUGUGUGUGCGCGUGUGUGUGUACAGGAGCAUAUUCAAUGAGCACAUAGGUCAAGGCUGCUGAUGGGGAAGGCAAGCCCCUCGUGGAGAGGGUGGGCAUCCACCCAGGAGCCCGCCCAGAAGUGUUCAGUUCUAUCGACAUGAAAUUUCCAUUUCUCCUUCCCUGCUGGACCUUGGGUGCCCUAGAGGGUCCCUACAUCCUCCUCCUUCCCUCCCUUCCUGAUGCCCACACAGAGCCUGCUGCAAAGUAGGUGCUCAGGGAAUAUCCAUUUAAUUCAACUGUAUUUCAUCAGAGAGAUGUGGCUUUCCCAGACAAGGAAGAAUUCAGAAAACAGCCCAGACAUGCUCAGAGCAGACAGCUGGACUCUAACCAGGCUCUGCGACUUGCUGACUCACAGGCCGUUUGUCCCUCAAGAUUCCCCACGGGGUAGUCGGCCUCAAGGCAGCUCCACCUGACGGCUGAGCUCGCUCCUUGCUGAGGGGCUGGUGCCCCCAGGAGCCUCCUCUGGGAAGCUGAGACCUCCUGGUGCCACCUCGACCCCGCCGGGCGACACACGCUGAGCAGAGGCAGCACUCGGGCUGGCCGGCCCAGCAGGCAGAUGUUCCGGAACCCUUGUAAAACCCCGCAGUACAGGGACUAGGAGGACCCGAGGGGUACAGGGAACGGAACAGGAGUUGCCGGUGAUAAUUUCCCGAAAAAUUCCUAGGGGACAGAGGCUCAUCAGCCCCAGGCAACUUCCUGAGACAGAUCGGUAAAAACAACCCCUUCUUCCAGGAGGAUGCAAUUCUCUCUCUAAAGUCGAGAGCUCACCACCCCGGGCGUUCGUCACUGCAGACAUCACUGCAGACACAGAGACGGCCAUUAGAGCUCACCACCCCGGGCGUUCGUCACUGCAGACAUCACUGCAGACACAGAGAAGGCCAUUAGAGCUCACCACCCCGGGCGUUCGUCACUGCAGACAUCACUGCAGACACAGAGACGGCCAUUAUGCAGCCUCACGUGGUCACUCCUGGGGGCGGUAGGAUAUUUUAUCCUAAAGAGAAAACACCUUAAAUUCUCACAUCAGCCACCCCCAUGGCGACUCUUAACACCUUAAUGUAGCACCUUCCAACUUUUCCUGGGCAUUUAUGUACAAAUUGUAAUAAAAUUGGGUUCUUACUGCAUACGCUGCUUGCUGGUUUCUAAAUAAAAUUGGGUUCUUACU